CUAGAAUGCCUACCUUUUUGGUAAUUUGGAUCUCGAUUGACCUAUUAAAAGCAUAUAUGGGGAUAAUAGAUUGAUUUGUAACCCUCUUUCUAGUUUAUUCUCCAUGAUCUUUAAUACCCUUCAUAUAAUGAGAUCAAACAAGCCGAUGAUGAAAUUAUAUAUUGUUUUAAAUCAUCAAUUGAAUGCCAAAUGCAAUGUACUGCACAAGCUUCCACGG
RNAcentral lists this long non-coding RNA (217 nucleotides) under Elaeis guineensis (African oil palm). Its description in RNAcentral is "long non-coding RNA (EGUI_LNC001948)". The record is from RNAcentral. Lineage: Eukaryota; Viridiplantae; Streptophyta; Magnoliopsida; Arecales; Arecaceae.